UACGAAGGGGGCUAGCGUUGUUCGGAAUUACUGGGCGUAAAGCGCGCGCAGGCGGCUAUCCAAGUCAGUGGUGAAAGCCCGGAGCUCAACUCCGGAACUGCCAUUGAAACUGUUUAGCUUGAGGAUGAGAGAGGUGAGUGGAAUUCCCAGUGUAGAGGUGAAAUUCGUAGAUAUUGGGAAGAACACCGGCGGCGAAGGCGGCCCUCUGGAUCGUUGCUGACGCUGAGACGGCGAAAGCGUGGGGAGCAAACAGG
This 254-nucleotide ribosomal RNA is filed under the name uncultured bacterium. Its description in RNAcentral is "partial 16S ribosomal RNA". It matches the Rfam family "Bacterial small subunit ribosomal RNA", at positions 524 to 776 of the family's 1533-position model. The record is from RNAcentral.